RNAcentral lists this transfer RNA (68 nucleotides) under Moricella rufonota. RNAcentral's name for it is "tRNA-Pro". The record is from RNAcentral. Lineage: Eukaryota; Metazoa; Arthropoda; Insecta; Hymenoptera; Tenthredinidae.
CAGAAAAUAGUUUAUUUAAAAUUUUAAUUUUGGAGAUUAAUGAAAUAAGAUUUAUCUUUUUUUUCUGA